AUUGAACGCUGGCGGCAGGCUUAACACAUGCAAGUCGAGCGGAGCGAGGGUGCUUGCACCUUAGCUUAGCGGCGGACGGGUGAGUAAUGCUUAGGAAUCUGCCUAUUAGUGGGGGACAACAUUCCGAAAGGGAUGCUAAUACCGCAUACGCCCUACGGGGGAAAGCAGGGGAUCUUCGGACCUUGCGCUAAUAGAUGAGCCUAAGUCGGAUUAGCUAGUUGGUGGGGUAAAGGCCUACCAAGGCGACGAUCUGUAGCGGGUCUGAGAGGAUGAUCCGCCACACUGGGACUGAGACACGGCCCAGACUCCUACGGGAGGCAGCAGUGGGGAAUAUUGGACAAUGGGGGGAACCCUGAUCCAGCCAUGCCGCGUGUGUGAAGAAGGCCUUUUGGUUGUAAAGCACUUUAAGCGAGGAGGAGGCGUUCUAGGAUAAUACCCUAGAUGCGUGGACGUACUCGCAGAAU
RNAcentral lists this ribosomal RNA (464 nucleotides) under Acinetobacter sp. oral taxon C51. Its description in RNAcentral is "bacterial SSU rRNA". It matches the Rfam family "Bacterial small subunit ribosomal RNA", at positions 30 to 487 of the family's 1533-position model. The record is from RNAcentral. Lineage: Bacteria; Pseudomonadati; Pseudomonadota; Gammaproteobacteria; Moraxellales; Moraxellaceae.